RNAcentral lists this transfer RNA (69 nucleotides) under Sphaerodactylus townsendi. Its description in RNAcentral is "tRNA-Ala". Lineage: Eukaryota; Metazoa; Chordata; Lepidosauria; Squamata; Sphaerodactylidae. The record is from RNAcentral.
GUUGUGGUUCAGUGGCAGAGUAUCUACUUGGCUUGCAGAAGGUUUCAGGUUCAAUGCUUGGCAUCACCA